RNAcentral lists this ribosomal RNA (200 nucleotides) under uncultured bacterium. Its description in RNAcentral is "partial 16S ribosomal RNA". It matches the Rfam family "Bacterial small subunit ribosomal RNA", at positions 8 to 202 of the family's 1533-position model. The record is from RNAcentral.
AGAGUUUGAUCCUGGCUCAGGACGAACGCUGGCGGCGUGCCUAAUACAUGCAAGUCGAGCGAAUCUUUGGGAGCUUGCUCCCAUUGGUUAGCGGCGGACGGGUGAGUAACACGUGGGCAACCUGCCUGUAAGACUGGGAUAACUUCGGGAAACCGGAGCUAAUACCGGAUAUCCCUAUCGGACCGCAUGAUCCAAUAGGG